This 351-nucleotide long non-coding RNA is filed under the name Homo sapiens (human). RNAcentral describes it as "non-protein coding lnc-PRPS1-3:2". The record is from RNAcentral. Lineage: Eukaryota; Metazoa; Chordata; Mammalia; Primates; Hominidae.
AGACAGACCGCCAGCCCAGCAGAAGCAACUGGGUGUGGCCUGACUCCCAGGGAGUCCUGGGGAAUCCCUGCAACUGAGCAAAUUUCGCUCCUGCCUCUUCCAGAUUCUCCAGGGAGCUGUCCUCUCCUCUGAGGUCCAAGUUAGCUAGCCUAUUCUCCAGUGAAAAAACUGAUAGAAGGUAUCCAGUUUUCAGGAUUGUCUGGGGGGAAAUGGAGGCAGUCCAGCAGAAAGAUCAUCGAUUCAAGUGUAGCGGACUUGGGUUCAAAUCCUGAUUCUCCCACUUAGUAGAGUAUGACCUUGGCCACAGUGUUUAACCUCUCUGUGCUUCAGUUUCCUUGGCUGUAAAACAGU